Molecule: long non-coding RNA, 352 nt
Filed under: Trifolium pratense (red clover)
Lineage: Eukaryota; Viridiplantae; Streptophyta; Magnoliopsida; Fabales; Fabaceae
Description: long non-coding RNA (TPRA_LNC006367)
Source: RNAcentral
AAGAUCAUCAAGGAGACAGGAAUUAAACAAUUUAGCUUCAUUUAAUAUUAAUUGCUUAUUUCAUAUUUCAAUAAUACCGGCCAGUACUAAUGCACCGGAUUAUCUGUCACCGCAAAAAUAUUUUUUAACUACAAACACCAAUACACCAUAAAUCCAUGUGAUGAAUGUAACAAAAAAGGAAAAGUCAUAAUUCUUAUAUUGAUAUAAUAUCACAUAUCUAAUAACUAGAUAACAAAACUUAUAUCCUCAGCUACUUUCACAAAACUGACCCUUUAGCAGCAUCAUAGGAGUCUCUUUGCUUGCAGUCCAAGGCAUUUGAUGUUGAUUUACCAUGCACCAGAAGUAGCUACCU